Molecule: small RNA, 3164 nt
Filed under: Arabidopsis thaliana (thale cress)
Lineage: Eukaryota; Viridiplantae; Streptophyta; Magnoliopsida; Brassicales; Brassicaceae
Description: ATSL170350
Rfam family: Plant small nucleolar RNA R71 (bases 1058-1164)
Source: RNAcentral
UUUUUCUGAAGCUGCGACUUUUCUUUCCUCAAAAGUAGGCUUUGCUCGAUCGAGUAGAGGGUCGAGUGAGUCUGAAGGUUGAUCAAGUUUAAUUGGUUCAUUAGUUUGAACUUCGUUUUGAUGCUGGUCCUCCCCUUCUUGAACUUCAUUGUCCUCAGUGAUCUUUUCUGUUGGCUGGUUGUUGAUCAAUUUCCUUUCACUACGGAGUGUGACUGCGUGUGCAUAUUCCUUGGAAUUUUGAAUGGCCUUUCCUAGAUGUUGUCCUGUAUACGUUGAGGAGGUAUUGAAAACAGCUUGUCAUUCCAUGUAUGUCAUUUUAGAUGUGAGAUCCUCAUAUUUGCUUCUUAACGCAUUGUAGGAACAGUCAACUUUACUAUUAAUCUCAGCCAAUUGUUUUUCCAGAACUAGAGCUCUAGUAGUUUGACCCUGGAUGAUUUGUUGAAGCAUUCGUUUUGUGUCAGGAUCUUGAGCUACUGGUGCUUGUUGUGGUUGUUAAGUGAAUCCUGGUGGUGGAUUCUGCUGUUGGUAGCCUCCAUUAAACUGUUGUGUAGGGACAUAGCCUUGGUUGUAUUGAACAAAUGGCUUAGACUGAUUCUAUUGUGGUGGAUACACUUGAUCUUGAGGGUUAGCUACAUUAGUGCUUCUGUAGGAGAGGUUUGGGUUGGGCUUGUAGUUGUUGUACCCCUUGUUGAACCCUCCUUGGUUCUGGAUGUAGCACAGCUCUUCAGUUUGGUCAUUCCCCCCUUCUUGCAUUUGGAAGUGCUCCUCAUCAGUGAUGUAGUGUAUCUGCUUCUGCUGAGCCAGCAGCAGCUUGUCUAGCUUUUCAUUCAGAGCCUUGAUAUCCUUGCUCUUUUUAUCCUCACUUCCUCCAGUUCCUCUCAUUGAGCGAUCAUAGUCUUCAUUGUAGCACCCAUCAGAUUGUGCUACAUUUUCGACCAACUCCCAUCCUUCUGCUACAUCCUUGUUCAGGAAGUUUUCAUUGGAGGCAGUGUCAAGUAGCAUUCUGAUCUUUGGUAAAGCUCCUCUGUAGAGUGUGCUUAGUAAUGAAGCCUUCUUAAAACCGUGAUGGGGGCACUGAGUAGUGUAGCUCUUAAACUUCUCCCAAGCUUCACAAAAAGUUUCAUUGUUUUCCUGGUUGAAACCUGAGAUCUCGUUCCUCAAUCUAGCGGUGCGAGCGUUAGAGAAGAACUUGGCGAGAAAAGCUUUCUUACAAUCGUCCCAUGAGGUGAGUCUGGGGGUAGAGUCUUCUCCCAGUGGUGUGCCUUGUCUCCCAAAGAGAAGGGGAAUAGUCUGAGCUUAAACAUAUCUUCAGUGACACCAUUGAUCUUGGUAAGGCCACAGAGCCUAUCAAAGCUGUCAAGAUGGUCUGGGGGUCUUCCAUAGGUAGACCAAGAAACUUGUUUCCUUGGAUCAUUGAGAUGAGACCACUCUUGAUCUCAAAGUUGUUGUUCUGAACUGGUGGAGGCACUAUCCCUUGUCUUUGGUGAUGAUUCCUUGGGGCAUCACCAGCACCAAUGUUUCUUGGUUGAUCAACAUUAGGUGGGUCUUGAACAUCAACUGGUCUGUUAUGUUGAUCAAUAGCAGGUGGUCUGUUCUGAUCACAAGCUGCCUUUGCUUUGGUUUCUUGUAACUCACGAGCUAUUUUGUCAAUUCUGUCUCUGAAUGGUAGUAGGUGUGCAGAACCUUUGGAUCGAGUUUGCAUGCACAAAGAUUAGUACCUAUACCACAAAAACAAGCAGACGAAAAUAUGAGUUCGUAACUUGAUAAAUGUAAAAGAACUUGAUCUUAAAAGUUUCUGAUAUCUUGAAUGUAACAAUGCAACUAUGAAUUGGCAACGGCGCCAAAUUGAUAAACAGGUUUUUCAGGCCUGCUUAUGUUGAAUGUGUGAUUCAGUUCAAUUCCCCUACAACACAAACAUGUCGAUGCAGCUAUAGGGGGUGUCAAUCCAGUCCACUGUAUUGCUAGCAAUCAAGAUGUGUAAAGAAACAAUUAAGUCAAGCCAGAUUAUAAAGAUGGUGGGUUUCUAGUAACAAUCCUAGGUCAGGAUUCAAACAAGUGAAAGAAAGAGAACUUAAGAGCCCUACUCGAUCAUUGGGUCGAGUAGAACCAACAGACAACAAAAUUAAAUAACCUAAAUGCAAUCAACAGGGGAUACAAAUAACAGGUAAAUAAAAUUGCAAUCAACAUGGGAUACAAAUAAAUCUAAUAGAAGUUCUAAGGAUGGAUUCAUUGAUAAGGGCAACUCUAGGGUUCAUCAAAUGGCUAAUAGGCGAAAGGUAGAUACCCAUGACGAUAGAUUCAAAAAUCGGGUCAAUCCACUCUCGUGACAGAGACCCCCAUAACUCUACCACUUCCUAAUCUCAACUCUCGUUGAUGAAACAUGGAAGAGCGGGGUUUAAGAAACAAUCUACCAAAGUCAAUAGGCAGACAAGCCAAUCCCUUGGUCGAGUCUACAAAUCUCUGGAAUUCGUAGGUCAGACAUCCAUUUGAACGUCUUUUGGACGCUGGACGUCUAUGAUCGAAUCUCCACAUUAGCAAGCGAUAAUCGCAUAGGGGCCAAGCGAAUCCAGAAGGGUAUAAACCUAAACACUAACCACCUAACUAACCUAGAGAUUACCAUAAUCUAAUCCAUCCUCAAGAUCCCUAAUCACUACUCAAGCAACAUUCUCAAUAACACAAACCCAGAAAUUACUAAAAUCAUACCAAAAUGUAGAUCUAAACAAGCUAAGCAACUUUACUUCAACAAUCAAAUGCAAAAAAGAAAUAGAUUAAGAGUAAUUAAGGUUUCAAGAUUCAUAAACACAAAGAAAAACUGAAAGAUAAAGCAUAGAUCCUUUGGACAAAUCCCAAAGUGAUCUAUUUAUACUAAAAUGUUGGAAAUCCUAGAUUCACUAGACGACAAGAGACUUGAGGCGGUUUGAGCGAAUACUCGAUCUUGGGGAUCGCGUAAAGAGGGUGCUCCAAAGUUUGCGUAAAGACAUAGCAUAUAUAUACUAACAAAUAAAACUACACAAUUAAUUGAAAAUAUAUACAAUAAAUUAUAAAUUACAAAACUACAAGAAAACAAAUAUAUACAAAGUUUUUAAAUAUACCUACCAUACAUAUAUAUUUUGAAAUUUGAAAUAUUAAAUUUCUAUAUAGAUGUUUUUUAUAUUUGAGAAAUU